UUGAUGUUCUAACGUGGAUCCGUAAUCCGGGUUGCGGACAGUGUCUGGUGGGUAGUUUGACUGGGGCGGUCUCCUCCUAAAGAGUAACGGAGGAGCACGAAGGUUGGCUAAUCCUGGUCGGACAUCAGGAGGUUAGUGCAAUGGCAUAAGCCAGCUUGACUGCGAGCGUGACGGCGCGAGCAGGUGCGAAAGCAGGUCAUAGUGAUCCGGUGGUUCUGAAUGGAAGGGCCAUCGCUCAACGGAUAAAAGGUACUCCGGGGAUAACAGGCUGAUACCGCCCAAGAGUUCAUAUCGACGGCGGUGUUUGGCACCUCGAUGUCGGCUCAUCACAUCCUGGGGCUGAAGUAGGUCCCAAGGGUAUGGCUGUUCGCCAUUUAAAGUGGUACGCGAGCUGGGUUUAGAACGUCGUGAGACAGUUCGGUCCCUAUCUGCCGUGGGCGCUGGAGAACUGAGGGGGGCUGCUCCUAGUACGAGAGGACCGGAGUGGACGCAUCACUGGUGUUCGGGUUGUCAUGCCAAUGGCACUGCCCGGUAGCUAAAUGCGGAAGAGAUAAGUGCUGAAAGCAUCUAAGCACGAAACUUGCCCCGA
RNAcentral lists this ribosomal RNA (589 nucleotides) under Salmonella enterica subsp. enterica serovar Infantis. RNAcentral describes it as "partial 23S ribosomal RNA". It matches the Rfam family "Bacterial large subunit ribosomal RNA", at positions 2214 to 2802 of the family's 2925-position model. RNAcentral also lists the same sequence under 2 other names. Lineage: Bacteria; Pseudomonadati; Pseudomonadota; Gammaproteobacteria; Enterobacterales; Enterobacteriaceae. The record is from RNAcentral.